This is a non-coding RNA of Salmo salar (Atlantic salmon), 58 nucleotides long. NCBI's taxonomy places the organism in Eukaryota, Metazoa, Chordata, Actinopteri, Salmoniformes, Salmonidae. The record is from Rfam.
UGGCUCAGUUGGUAGAGCAUGGUGUGUGCAAUGCCAGGGAUGUGGGUUCGAUUCCCAC